GACGAACCGUGCGAACGUUGUUCGGAAUCACUGGGCUUAAAGGGCGCGUAGGCGGGCUGUCAAGUCCGGGGUGAAAUCCUCCCGCUCAACGGGAGAACGGCCUCGGAUACUGAUGGUCUCGAGGGGGGUAGGGGCACGCGGAACUGUGGGUGGAGCGGUGAAAUGCGUUGAUAUCCAUAGGAACUCCGGUGGCGAAAGCGGCGUGCUGGACCCUUUCUGACGCUGAUGCGCGAAAGCCAGGGGAGCAAACGGG
RNAcentral lists this ribosomal RNA (253 nucleotides) under uncultured bacterium. Its description in RNAcentral is "partial 16S ribosomal RNA". It matches the Rfam family "Bacterial small subunit ribosomal RNA", at positions 524 to 776 of the family's 1533-position model. The record is from RNAcentral.